Molecule: long non-coding RNA, 1117 nt
Filed under: Anas platyrhynchos platyrhynchos (common mallard)
Lineage: Eukaryota; Metazoa; Chordata; Aves; Anseriformes; Anatidae
Description: lncRNA (ENSAPLG00000031084.1)
Source: RNAcentral
AUGGGAUCUUAUGGUUCCUUCCAAAUUCUGACUAGUGUAAGAAAGGAAAAUGUGAAACCCGUCGCUGGGCGGAGUGAGAACGAACAAGUGGCUUUGUACAUAAAAAAAAAAAAAAAAAAAGAAGAAGAAGAAGCUAAAAAUAGGCUCCCCACAAGCCUGCACUUCCUGGUGAGCGCAGGGCUGUGGCGGCUGGGGCAGCCGGAGCCAUGGGCCGCCUGUGUCGGCCUCGAGAAGCCCCCUCCUGACCCGGGGACACCGAGGGGACAGGCGAGGGGCCAGCAGAGCAGCAUCUGUUCCUGUCCACGAAUGUAGAAGGAGCUGAGCUGGCUCAGCAGAAACUGAAACCCAGCCUAAUCCCGUGCUAUAAUAAGAGCUUAAUGGCAUCAUUGUCCGUGGGCACUUCGGCAGCAAACUAAGAAAACAAAAAUACAUCGGUACGAAAAAAACAGAGUGCAGGGAAAGCGUCGACGGCCGUUUUGGGGCCCGCUCUGGCGGGACGGCUGCUUCCUGCCAAAGCUCUUUAUCAGCUUUCGGCCGGCCGGCCCGCAGCGUCCUCCUGUCCUUUCACCCCGCGCCUCCCCACUUACAUAACUGACUUAGGCAUUACCUCCCCUGCUCUCCUUGCUCUGUCUUUAGCACCUCGGCAUCACUUGGGCCCUGCGUUUCUUCUGGUAACAACUUUCCCUGCAGUUCUGCUCCUUAGGUGAGGCUGGGAGCGGGUAGAAGCAGAGAUAGUAGCUUUAAGUUGUUGCACGUUGAAUUUUUCAAUCUAUUUAAUUGCCUAAACCCAGUGGAAUUAUUUACCAAAAAUAGAUGGAGAGUAACAUUUCUAAUUAAAAAAAGUCCCCGUAGCUUUCGAACUCUCGAAACUUUCUCCAGCCAGAAACUGAAAGUAGAAUGGAUUUAUUUAUUUAUUUAUUUUACAUUAUUAUCAGACCGAGAGAAAUGCAGAGAUUAGCAGAGCAUAAACAGAAGGAUGUGAAGUUGGCCUCAAGUGCACUAAUGAUCUGAGCAGCCAAUUUGGCUCGCGGGAGAGUUGUGACUGAGCCUGAAGAUCCACACUUAGGGUUUCAAUUUGUCAAAUAAAAAUAAAGCAGGGAAGGUGAUUUUCUAGAAA